This is a long non-coding RNA of Spinacia oleracea (spinach), 1014 nucleotides long. RefSeq lists it as uncharacterized. The record is from RefSeq and is a predicted model, not a curated record. The transcript has 5 exons. Lineage: Eukaryota; Viridiplantae; Streptophyta; Magnoliopsida; Caryophyllales; Amaranthaceae.
UAACACACUCUCAAAACAUAAAACAACCGCUUUCUUCCUCCCUCGUUUCUUCCCUGCAAAACCCUUAUACUGUCAAUACUCUCAAAUCUCAAUCGAUCACAACCGGAGCGGCGAAACCCACGGCGGAGAUUUCCUUCACGCGGUGUUUCCCUUCGCCUGGCGGCGCUUCCCUUCUCACGGCAAGAUUGAAUAAUCGAAUUGGAAGAUUUUCUCAUACUAUUUUUCACAGAGGCUCUCUUCUACUGUGGUGUCGCAAUUUUUCUUUUCCUUAUUCACUCUCUGCGUAGCCCCGCUAAAAGUGUUCCUGUUGCCAGCAGUUGUGGAAAGCUAACCACUCAGAUGGGGAGUCGUAUAUCUUCAGUUGCUAUUUUGAUGCUUAGACAGCUUAGUCUUAUUAUUCCAAUGGUGACAAUGGUUUUGUUUGGCCGUGGACUGGUCCUGCAGCAUCAGCUUCUCUAGCUCCUUACUUGGUUGGUAUUGUUGUACAGUUUGCAUUCGAGCAGUAUGUAAAAUAUACGAAAUCACCUUCCUGGGCCGUCAUUCUAGUUGUAUUUCAGGUGUGACUCAUGUGGGUGGAGACAUGUUCAAAUUGAUUCCUUCUGGUGAUGCAAUCUUCAUGAAGUUUUCCCCUGGUGACCCAAGCAAGUUCAUGGUUACUAUUGCUGAUUCCCAGGUCCGGAUACUGGGGUUAAUGUAAUAUGUAAAUAUAAAGGUCUUCGAAAUGCAAGAAGUCAGAUCUCUGCAUCAUUUACAUCAGAUGGGAAACACAUUAUCUCAGCCAGUGAAGACUCUUCUGUUUAUGUGUUGGAAUCCAAUAAAUCAGACACAUGUCAUACAACAAUUUCAUCUCACUUCAGAAGCAAGAACUCAUUGGGUGCGCUAUGUUGUUCAACAAAUGUAUCGUAGAUAGAUUGCAUUGAAGGAAUCAAAAAUAUACUCCGUACAACUCUAUUAAUUAAUGUGUUUUGCAUAGUUUAAUGUUGUGGUCUAAUUUUAGAACAUAUUUAUGUAAUC